Gossypium arboreum is the source of this 71-nucleotide transfer RNA. It matches the Rfam family "tRNA". Rfam says of the family: Transfer RNA (tRNA) molecules are approximately 80 nucleotides in length. The record is from Rfam. NCBI's taxonomy places the organism in Eukaryota, Viridiplantae, Streptophyta, Magnoliopsida, Malvales, Malvaceae.
UGGGGCGUGGCCAAGUGGUAAGGCAACGGUUUUGGUCCCGCUAUGCGGAGGUUCGAAUCUUUUCGUCCCAG